Long non-coding RNA from Rattus norvegicus (Norway rat), 2930 nucleotides. RefSeq lists it as uncharacterized. The record is from RefSeq and is a predicted model, not a curated record. Lineage: Eukaryota; Metazoa; Chordata; Mammalia; Rodentia; Muridae.
GAAAAGGAUGGAGACUGCAUGGUGCUGGGUUCAAGGCUGCUUUGUUCAUUCGACCAACCUGUGUGAACCUCUGCUCUGUGCCAGGCACUGUUUGAAGGCUUGUAGCAUUGAGCAAAUCAGACAUGUUCCUUCCUUCGACUCGCCCUCCUUCCUGUCUGUUCCGUGCUUGUGGAUUCAGCCACUAAUGGAUCAGAAAUAUGUGAAAAAAAGUUGCAUCUGUGCUAAAUAUACAUGGGCUUUCUUGUCAUUAUUAUUCUCUAUACAUUGUAACUAAUAUGUUUUAAACUAUAACUAAUUUACAUUAUACUAGGUCUUAUUGGUAAAUUAGAUAAUUUGACACAUCUUCUUAAACUCUUUUUACCCAGGAACUCUUUUGUUCAACAAAUUUUUUAUAUGGCCCAGGUAUAUAGGUAUAUAAUAAAACAGACAUAAAUUUCAAACCAUUCUUUGGUAUACAUUUAACUUUAUUAUAGUUAUUAAAAGUGAAAGCAAUUGGGCAGUGGUGGCACAGGCCUUUAAUCUCAGCACUAGGGAGGCAGAGGCAGGCAGAUCUCUGAAUUCGAGGCCAGCCUAGUCUUCAGAGUGAGUUUCAGGACUGCCAGGACUACACAGGGAAACCUGUCUCAGUGGGUGAAGGGGAAAAUGAAAGUAAAUUUACACACUGAUGGAAUGGUGGGAUUAUUUACUACCACAUGCAGAAUGUAAUAUUAGCUGAAUAUUUCAUAAUGCAGGGCUUAGAGCAUCCUCAAUGUUUUUCCAAGUUGAUCGAUAUUUUGAAUUUUAUAAAUAUUAGCACUAAGAAUGCUGUUUUGCAUAAAUAUGGGUACAAUAUACAAAAUGGCAGAAAUGUAUUUCUGAGAAGGGUUCGACCUUUUCAAAGAACAGGUCCCCGGAAGACUGUUGCCUCUUUGUUAUAGGAGGAUAUCUUGCAGUGUAGUGAUUCACCUUAUAUCCUUGGGCAUUUCCCAAACUCCCCCACCCUAAGCUUCAGUUCCUGCUUCUAUUCCUGCCUCAGAGCUUUAAAUGCUGUACAUUUCUCUCAAUAAAUGAGACCUUGACAACAGAACUUUUGCUUGGUCUCCUUCUUCUCUUCACCCCCAUUUUGGCCCACAGGUAGAAAGCCUCUUCGGGACCCUGAAUAACUGGGUCCCCGCUGGCAGGGACAAGAAAUUAUUGGAAAAUGUGUUCUAAUCCUAAACCAAAGUUCAAUGAGCUGUUUUUCAUGAUAUUCAAAUUAGCAAUUCAAAGUAGCACGUUGCUGUUGUUGCUGUUGUUGUUGUUAUUGUUGCUUUGAGACAGGGUUGUCUCUAUUAUAUAUGUGGCCCUGGCUAUUCUGGAACUUGCUAUGUAUGUAGACUAGGCUGGCCUUGAACUCACAGAAAUCCAUCUGCCUCUGGGAGUACUGAGGCCAAAUAAACGUGUGCAUCAUCAUGUCCCACACAUACCAAGGUGUGCUGAUUUUUACAUUUUACAUACGAAUCUGAUUUUUACAUACAGAGGAGUGGUAGUAGGAAAAUAUUCAAAAACUCUGGUAAUUGAAUAAUUGUAUUUGUUUGGUAAACAAAUAAAAAGUUAGUAAAUAAAUAAUCAAAUGGCAUCAGAAAACAUUCUAUAUAUAUCAAAAACACCACAAUGAAUAACACAGUAGGGUCAAAUCUGAGCCAAGGUGUGCCAGGCAAUGUCUGGGUGGGUUCUGUGUUUUGUGUUGGCGUUCGUUGUUGGGCACAGACAUAUAUUGCAUAUAUUGUAAUGCAUAUUCAGAGCCGAGUCCACAGUAAAGGUGUGGCAUCAGAGGGGACUGUCAGAAAUGCUUAAGAUUCCAGAUGUGUUUAUUUUGAAUUGAUUUUAAUUUAUUGUGUGCCCAGCCUAUUGUGAGUGGUGCCAUCCCUGGGCUAGAGGUCCUGGGUUCUACAAGAAAGCAGGCUGAACAAGCUAGGAGAAGCUUGCCAGUAAGCCUCCAUGCCUUCAUGGCCUCUGCAUCAGUUCCUGUCUCCAGGUUCCUGCCCUGUGUGAGUUCCAGUUCUGACUUCAUUUGGUAAUGAACAGCAAUAUGGAAGUGUAAGCCGAACAAACCCUUUCCUCCUGCUCAUGGUUCAAGACACUGUGGUUUAAAGCAUGGGAGAGGAUGUGUCACAGGCAGGCUAUGUGCAAAUACAGCGUCAGUUUAUACAAUGGGCUUGGACAUCCCAAGAUCCUGAGGUCAUCAGGGAGUUCCUGAGGAUACUGAUGGAGACAAUGUAGCCGUGAAGAUUAUAUCGUCUGGUCUACAAGGCAGUAACUGGCAAAUUGGAAAGUGUCAAGUGCCCAAGUGAAAACCGAAACAAGGCAGGCAGGAUUUGCGCUGCUAUUUUUAGACUCUGUGGCCAAGAAAGGCUUCUUAACUGAGGAGUUAUACUGAGGAAAGUCUAGAAGCCCGGGAGGACAUCUUUUGGGUGAAGGCAUCAAUAAUAGAACUACGGGAAAGGUGUACGGAAAGAAAGAUACUUGCCUUCUAAAACAGCAGUUGUUACAAUCUCUGAAUUAGUCCUCAUGCUCUAGUGUCUCGGCCGGCUUUGAUGUUUGGUUUUCCAGUUACCCACUUCCUUUCUUCAGCUCUAUUGUGGAGCUUCCCUGGAGCAGCUGUGCUGAGAAGGAAGAUGCUUCUUGACUCCAUUUUGGAAGAGUGGAGAGGCUGUCAUCCAGUCUUCUCUUUUCAGGAAGAUUUCCAGAGGCAGCAAUUCCACUCAACCACGUGUCUGUGUCCUAAGCGCACUCACACAGCAUCUUUACCGACUGGCUGGCAGGAAGGGAGACAGCUCUGAAGGAAAGGAUGUGGUUACUCUUCAAAACCCCAGUUCUGUUAAAGGAUUAAAAAAAAAAUGGUUGCAAAACACAUUCCCAUUACAGUUCAAUAGGUUUGAGCCCAUUGAAACAUGGAGUUUAUGAACAUA